This is a non-coding RNA of Pelobates cultripes (western spadefoot toad), 298 nucleotides long. The record is from the annotation of a GenBank genome assembly. NCBI's taxonomy places the organism in Eukaryota, Metazoa, Chordata, Amphibia, Anura, Pelobatidae.
CACAAAAAUAAAAAAAUGGAAAUCACAUUUUUCAACCCAUGGAUGUCUGGAUUUGGAGUCACACUCAAAAUUAAAGUGGAAAAAACACACUACAGGUUUAUCCAACUUUGAUGUAAUGUCCUUAUAACAAGUCAAAAUGAGGCUCAGUAGUGUGUGUGGCCUCCACGUGCCUGUAUGACCUCCCUACAACGCUUGUGCAUGCUCCUGAUGAGGUGGCAGAUGGUCUCCUGAGGGAUCUCCUCCCAGACCUGGACUAAAGCAUCUGCCAACUCCUGGACGUCUGUGGUGCAACGUGACG